GUUUGUUGUUGUUUUUUGAAGUACUUGAUGUACAGAAGCCUGUUUUCGACAUAGUUGGAGGUUUGAAAGCAUGUCGAGGUAAGUACAGACAAGUACAAUGAUUCUGCAAUUAAGGAAGACAUCCUAUAAUAAUUCGUGAACUUUGUUUUAUUUUUACGUGAAUCGUGAUGGAAUUUUUUCAAUUUUUCGUGACUCGUGAAAAGGCAAAAUAUUUUUACGUGAAAGCAU
Non-coding RNA from Paramuricea clavata, 228 nucleotides. NCBI's taxonomy places the organism in Eukaryota, Metazoa, Cnidaria, Anthozoa, Malacalcyonacea, Plexauridae. The record is from the annotation of a GenBank genome assembly.